GAUCUUUCAAAAAAAAUUAACAAACAAUAUGACUAAAGCAAAUAUAUGAACAUACUCAAAAGAUUGAAUCCGCAUUUACCUCAAACCAUGCGUUAUUUAUUUACUAAGACAAGAAAAUUUCAAAUAACACAUUCAACAUGAUUAUGGAUAGCCGAAGGAUUCACGAGAAACACAAAAGUGUUUUCUUCGUAACAAUAAACAAUUGAAUCUCCAUCUUCUUUGCAUAUCACUUUUCUGUUUCACAUUAAUCCUUGUGCUACCCAUAAUCAUGUAAAAUUACGAAAAUAAAUAAAUAAAUAAAGCA
RNAcentral lists this unclassified non-coding RNA (304 nucleotides) under Hevea brasiliensis (rubber tree). The record is from RNAcentral. Lineage: Eukaryota; Viridiplantae; Streptophyta; Magnoliopsida; Malpighiales; Euphorbiaceae.